Molecule: ribosomal RNA, 932 nt
Filed under: uncultured bacterium
Lineage: Bacteria
Description: bacterial SSU rRNA
Rfam family: Bacterial small subunit ribosomal RNA
Source: RNAcentral
UGAUCAUGGCUCAGGACGAACGCUGGCGGCGCGCCUCACACAUGCAAGUCGAGCGCGGGGCUUCGGCUCCGAGCGGCGGACGGGUGAGUAACACGUGGAUAACCUGCCCACCGGACCGGGAUAACUCUGGGAAACCGGGGCUAAUACCGGGUACGGUCCUGGCGCGGCAUCGUGCUAGGAGGAAAGGCACCGCAAGGUGUGCUGGUGGAUGGGUCCGCGGGCCAUUAGGUAGUUGGUGAGGUAACGGCUCACCAAGCCUGCGAUGGCUAGCCGGCCUGAGAGGGUGGACGGCCACACUGGGACUGAGACACGGCCCAGACUCCUACGGGAGGCAGCAGUGGGGAAUUUUGCGCAAUGGGGGAAACCCUGACGCAGCGACGCCGUGUGCGCGAAGAAGGCCUUAGGGUUGUAAAGCGCUGUCGGUGGGGACGAAGUCCGAGGGGAAGACCCUCGGGUGACUGUACUCACGGAGGAAGCCCCGGCUAACUACGUGCCAGCAGCCGCGGUAACACGUAGGGGGCGAGCGUUGUCCGGAAUUACUGGGCGUAAAGGGCGUCUAGGCGGUUUGGUGCGUCCUUAGUGAAAGCAGCCGGCUCAACCGGCUGUGGUCUAGGGAAACGGCUGAGCUUGAGGGCAGGAGAGGGAAGCGGAAUUGCCGGUGUAGCGGUGAAAUGCGUAGAGAUCGGCAGGAACACCCGUGGCGAAGGCGGCUUCCUGGACUGUACCUGACGCUGAAGCGCGAAAGCGUGGGGAGCGAACGGGAUUAGAUACCCCGGUAGUCCACGCUGUAAACGAUGGGUGCUAGGUGUGGCGGGUAUCGACCCCCGCCGUGCCGGAGCUAACGCACUAAGCACCCCGCCUGGGGAGUACGGCCGCAAGGCUGAAACUCAAAGGAAUUGACGGGGGCCCGCACAGCGGUGGAGCAUGUGGUU